AUUGAACGCUGGCGGCAGGCCUAACACAUGCAAGUCGAACGGCAGCACAGAAGAGCUUGCUCUUUGGGUGGCGAGUGGCGGACGGGUGAGUAAUGUCUGGGAAACUGCCCGAUGGAGGGGGAUAACUACUGGAAACGGUAGCUAAUACUGCAUAACGUCGCAAGACCAAAGUGGGGGACCUUCGGGCCUCACACCAUCGGAUGUGCCCAGAUGGGAUUAGCUAGUAGGUGGGGUAAUGGCUCACCUAGGCGACGAUCCCUAGCUGGUCUGAGAGGAUGACCAGCCACACUGGAGCUACGACACGGUCCAGACUCCUACGGGAGGCAGCAGUGGGGAAUACUGCACAAUGGGCGCAAGCCUGAUGCAGCCAUGCCGCGUGUAUGAAGAAGGCCUUCGGGUUGUAAAGUACUUUCAGCGGGGAGGAAGGCGGUGAGGUUAAUAACCUCGCCGAUUGACGUUACCCGCAGAAGAAGCACCGGCUAACUCCGUGCCAGCCGCCGCGGUAA
RNAcentral lists this ribosomal RNA (506 nucleotides) under uncultured bacterium. Its description in RNAcentral is "partial 16S ribosomal RNA". It matches the Rfam family "Bacterial small subunit ribosomal RNA", at positions 30 to 523 of the family's 1533-position model. The record is from RNAcentral.